This 520-nucleotide ribosomal RNA is filed under the name uncultured bacterium. Its description in RNAcentral is "partial 16S ribosomal RNA". It matches the Rfam family "Bacterial small subunit ribosomal RNA", at positions 899 to 1397 of the family's 1533-position model. The record is from RNAcentral.
ACUCAAAUGAAUAGACGGGGGCUCACACAAGCGGUGGAGCAUGUGGCUUAAUUCGAGGCUACGCGAAGAACCUUAUCCUAGGCUUGACAUGUUCGAAAGAGGUAGGAAGUAGGAAGCGGAAACGCUUACGAACGGUAUCCAAUCCGGAACCUACUACAGGUGCUGCAUGGCUGUCGUCAGCUCGUGUCGUGAGAUGUCGGGUUAAGUCCCAUAACGAGCGAAACCCUUGUUUCCAGUUGCCAGCGGGUCAUGCCGGGGACUCUGGAAAGACUGCCGGUGUCAAACCGGAGGAAGGUGGGGAUGACGUCAAGUCCUCAUGGCCUUUAUGCCUAGGGCUGCACACGUGCUACAAUGCCGUGAACAAAGGGACGCAAACUUGCAAAAGGGAGCUAAUCCCAGAAAACACGGCCCAGUUCAGAUCGAAGGCUGCAACUCGCCUUCGUGAAGUUGGAAUCGCUAGUAAUCGCGGGUCAGCUACACCGCGGUGAAUGUGUUCCUGAGCCUUGCACACACCGCCCGU